AGCAGCCGCGGUAAUUCCAGCUCCAAUAGCGUAUAUUAAAGUUGCUGCAGUUAAAAAGCUCGUAGUUGAAUUUCGGGACCAAUAUGUCGGUCGUGCCUCGGUACGUACUGGCAUCGUUGGUUUCUCCCUUCUGACGAACCAUGAUGUCAUUUAUUUGGUGUCGUGGGGAAUCAGGACUGUUACUUUGAAAAAUUAGAGUGCUUAAAGCAGGCUCACGCUUGAAUACAUUAGCAUGGAAUAAUGAAAUAGGACGUUUGAUUUUAUUUUGUUGGUUUCUAGGAUCGACGUAAUGAUUAAUAGGGAUAGUUGGGGGCAUUAGUAUUCAAUUGUCAGAGGUGAAAUUCUUGGAUUUAUUGAAGACUAACUACUGCGAAAGCAUUUGCCAAGGAUGUUUUCAUUAAUCAAGAACGAAAGUUAGGGGAGUCGAAGACGAUCAGAUACCGUCGUAGUCUUAACCAUAAACUAUGCCGACUAGGGAUCGGAUGAUGUUAAUUUUUAAUGUACUCA
This 507-nucleotide ribosomal RNA is filed under the name uncultured Glomeraceae. Its description in RNAcentral is "SSU rRNA". It matches the Rfam family "Eukaryotic small subunit ribosomal RNA", at positions 569 to 1078 of the family's 1831-position model. Lineage: Eukaryota; Fungi; Glomeromycota; Glomeromycetes; Glomerales; Glomeraceae. The record is from RNAcentral.